This 465-nucleotide ribosomal RNA is filed under the name Vreelandella stevensii. Its description in RNAcentral is "partial 16S ribosomal RNA". It matches the Rfam family "Bacterial small subunit ribosomal RNA", at positions 338 to 795 of the family's 1533-position model. The record is from RNAcentral. Lineage: Bacteria; Pseudomonadati; Pseudomonadota; Gammaproteobacteria; Oceanospirillales; Halomonadaceae.
CCUACGGGUGGCUGCAGUGGGGAAUAUUGUACAAUGGGGGCAACCCUGAUCCAGCCAUGCCGCGUGUGUGAAGAAGGCCCUCGGGUUGUAAAGCACUUUCAGUGAGGAAGAACGCCUGGUGGUUAAUACCCAUCAGGAAAGACAUCACUCACAGAAGAAGCACCGGCUAACUCCGUGCCAGCAGCCGCGGUAAUACGGAGGGUGCGAGCGUUAAUCGGAAUUACUGGGCGUAAAGCGCGCGUAGGUGGCUUGAUAAGCCGGUUGUGAAAGCCCCGGGCUCAACCUGGGAACGGCAUCCGGAACUGUCAAGCUAGAGUGCAGGAGAGGAAGGUAGAAUUCCCGGUGUUGCGGUGAAAUGCGUAGAGAUCGGGAGGAAUACCAGUGGCGAAGGCGGCCUUCUGGACUGACACUGACACUGAGGUGCGAAAGCGUGGGUAGCAAACAGGAUUAGAUACCCCUGUAGUC